UGCUGCCUCCCGUAGGAGUCUGGACCGUGUCUCAGUUCCAGUGUGACUGAUCAUCCUCUCAGACCAGUUACGGAUCGUCGCCUUGGUAGGCCUUUACCCCACCAACUAGCUAAUCCGACCUAGGCUCAUCUGAUAGCGUGAGGUCCGAAGAUCCCCCACUUUCUCCCUCAGGACGUAUGCGGUAUUAGCGCCCGUUUCCGGACGUUAUCCCCCACUACCAGGCAGAUUCCUAGGCAUUACUCACCCGUCCGCCGCUGAAUCCAGGAGCAAGCUCCCUUCAUCCGCUCGACUUGCAUGUGUUAGGCCUGCCGCCAGCGUUCAAUCUGAGCCAGGAUCAAACUCUAAUCGAAUUCCG
Molecule: ribosomal RNA, 355 nt
Filed under: Pseudomonas aeruginosa
Lineage: Bacteria; Pseudomonadati; Pseudomonadota; Gammaproteobacteria; Pseudomonadales; Pseudomonadaceae
Description: partial 16S ribosomal RNA
Source: RNAcentral